UACAGAGGGUGCGAGCGUUGUCCGGAAUCACUGGGCGUAAAGGGCGCGUAGGCGGCCUGAUAAGUAGGGGGUGAAAUCUUGCGGCUCAACCGCAAGGCUGCCUUCUAAACUGUCAGGCUGGAGCACGGUAGAGGCAGAUGGAAUUCCCGGUGUAGCGGUGGAAUGCGUAGAGAUCGGGAAGAACACCAGUGGCGAAGGCGGUCUGCUGGGCCGUUGCUGACGCUGAGGCGCGACAGCGUGGGGAGCAAACGGG
Molecule: ribosomal RNA, 253 nt
Filed under: uncultured bacterium
Lineage: Bacteria
Description: partial 16S ribosomal RNA
Rfam family: Bacterial small subunit ribosomal RNA
Source: RNAcentral